Molecule: long non-coding RNA, 657 nt
Organism: Propithecus coquereli (Coquerel's sifaka)
Lineage: Eukaryota; Metazoa; Chordata; Mammalia; Primates; Indriidae
Exons: 3
Source: RefSeq, a predicted model, not a curated record
GGCUAGCGCUCCCGCCAGCCGCCGAAGCAUUGGGCGGGGAGGGGCGCGCAUGCGUACCGAGGGUGGCGCCGCUAGGCACAGAACCGGAAACUUAGAGACAAAGUUAGGAGCCCCGCCCCCGCCGCGCGCUGCCUAGCCGUCUGGCCCCGCCGAGCUGCGACCCACCGACCCACGAAUUGGCCUGGCUCUCGCAUGCGCCAUGUCUGGUUCCUCCAGCGUCGCCGCUAUGAAGAAAGUGGUUCAACAGCUCCGGAUGGAGGCCGGGCUCAACCGUGUUAAAGUUUCCCAAGCAGCUGCAGACUUGAAACAAUUCUGUCUGCAGAAUGCUCAACAUGAUCCUCUGCUGACUGGAGUAUCUUCGAGUACAAAUCCCUUCAGACCCCAGAAAGUCUGUUCCUUUUUGUAGGAAAAUGAAUCUUUCAAAGGUUUCCCAAACCACUUCUUAUGAACUGGUGAAUAUUCAAGAACCAACUAAAUCUGAAGCCUGUACAAAAGCUUAUCCUUAUAACAAUACAUGUGCCAUAAUAUGCAAACUUCUACUUUUGUCAGUACUUAACAUCUACCUCUCUGAAUUUUCAUGAACUUCUAUUUCACAAGGGGAAUUGUUUUAUAUACACUGGUGGCUGCAGACAAUAAAAUACUUAGUAUAAAAGUUUU